UACGAAGGGGGGCUAGCGUUGUUCGGAGUUACUGGGCGUAAAGGGCGCGUAGGCGGCGCACCAAGUCAGGCGUGAAAGCCCUGGGCUCAACCCGGGAAUUGCGCUUGAGACUGGUGUGCUUGAGUACGGGAGAGGAUAGUGGAAUUCCCAGUGUAGAGGUGAAAUUCGUAGAUAUUGGGAAGAACACCGGUGGCGAAGGCGGCUAUCUGGACCGUAACUGACGCUGAGGCGCGAAAGCGUGGGGAGCAAACAGG
RNAcentral lists this ribosomal RNA (254 nucleotides) under uncultured bacterium. RNAcentral describes it as "partial 16S ribosomal RNA". It matches the Rfam family "Bacterial small subunit ribosomal RNA", at positions 524 to 776 of the family's 1533-position model. The record is from RNAcentral.